RNAcentral lists this ribosomal RNA (447 nucleotides) under uncultured bacterium. RNAcentral describes it as "partial 16S ribosomal RNA". It matches the Rfam family "Bacterial small subunit ribosomal RNA", at positions 29 to 523 of the family's 1533-position model. The record is from RNAcentral.
AACGAACGCUGGCGGCAGGCCUAACACAUGCAAGUCGAACGCUCCGCAAGGGGAGUGGCAGACGGGUGAGUAACGCGUGGGAACCUUCCCAAAGGUGCGGAAUAGCUCAGGGAAACUUGGGGUAAUACCGCAUAAUGCCGAGAGGCCAAAGAUUUAUCGCCUUGGGAUGGGCCUGCGUCGGAUUAGCUAGUUGGGGGGGUAACGGCUCACCAAGGCGACGAUCCGUAGCUGGUUUGAGAGAAUGGCCAGCCACACUGGGACUGAGACACGGCCCAGACUCCUACGGGAGGCAGCAGUGGGGAAUCUUGGACAAUGGGCGCAAGCCUGAUCCAGCCAUGCCGCGUGAGUGACGAAGGCCUUAGGGUUGUAAAGCUCUUUUGCCGGGGACGAUAAUGACGGUACCCGGAGAAUAAGUCCCGGCUAACUUCGUGCCAGCAGCCGCCGUAA